AUGGCGGAAUCUGCGGGCUGGUCCGCGCUGCCAUCCGACCUGGUCAACCGCGUCGCCGACUGCCUCCUGGCCACCAACGACGUGGACUACUACAUGGACCUCCGCGCCGUCUGCGCCGCCUGGCGCCGCGCCACCGCAGGCACCAAGAACAGCCCGGACCCCCGGUUCCGCCCGAGCCAGUGGAUAGUGAUCGACGAGGUCAGUUGCUCCAGGUUCAGGAGCUUCCAGCGCCUCACGCCCCUCCUGGUUAACACCGCCACAGGCCGCGCCCUCCGCAAGUACCUGCCGAUGCUCCGCAACUACCAUGUCAUCGCCACCACACACGGCGGCUUCUUCGUCCUCGCGGACAGGAAGCCCCCUCACGCCGCGUGCGUGCGUACUCAACCCUUUCACAGGCUACUUGGUUCGUUUCAUGGCGCCCAUGGUUAUAGACUUGGUUGCUCCUGCUGCUGCUGUCACUCAUUUUGA
This 468-nucleotide ribosomal RNA is filed under the name Triticum aestivum (bread wheat). RNAcentral's name for it is "partial small subunit ribosomal RNA". The record is from RNAcentral. Lineage: Eukaryota; Viridiplantae; Streptophyta; Magnoliopsida; Poales; Poaceae.